ACUUAAGGAGCAAUCACACUGUUACGUCAGUGUUAAUCUUAUUACAGUGAUGAGCUUCCACUUCAUGGUCCGUGUUUUUGAAAUUCUGUGAUAUUUAAAGAAGUUCUGAGUUUGAGCCAUCAGAUGCCUUUUUCCCUGUUUUCACAAGUUCCUAUAUGAUUUGAAUUCUAAAUGCCUUAUUUAUUCUUGCCUGCCAAUGCAGAAGAUGACACAGACCCGAACAGGAUUCCGAAGAGUGUGGGGAUCCAGAGAGCACAUCGUACACCCAACCUGCUAAUGCAGAAGACACACGCCUGAAAAGGAUCCUGAAGAGCGAGGGGAUCCAUAGUGCACGUCGUACACCUAACAUGAAGAUUAACGACGGAACCUUUGCACCAAGACGGCAAGAAGCAUGACAAAGGGAACACCUGCCAAACCAAAGGCAUUCAUUCAUCGAUCUUCUUAAAUACUCGAGUUCAAUGAUGAAUAAAUUGGUUGGUUGAAACAAAUGAGUCAGACCUCUCAUUCAAAGUUUUUGAUUCACAAGACUUAUUUAUUUCACAUAAGCUAACAAAGAUUGUAAUCUGUCUGCGCUGUAAGGACACAGGGUACAGAGGAAUAUCAAGCACACAGGUUGAGCAGCAUUUGUAAUUAUAGGAUUCAUUAGAAAAGAUGGCUUUUCAGGCAGGCCUACAACAUAGCCUUGAGAAUUUAGUGUAUAGUUAAUUUCACUUGGCAUGUAGGUGUGUACACUAAAUAUACAACUAUUGAUUGCACAAUUUUAAAACUCA
Molecule: long non-coding RNA, 770 nt
Organism: Acanthopagrus latus (yellowfin seabream)
Lineage: Eukaryota; Metazoa; Chordata; Actinopteri; Spariformes; Sparidae
Exons: 3
Source: RefSeq, a predicted model, not a curated record